RNA transcript from Rosa chinensis, 2926 nucleotides. RefSeq lists it as uncharacterized. The transcript has 6 exons. NCBI's taxonomy places the organism in Eukaryota, Viridiplantae, Streptophyta, Magnoliopsida, Rosales, Rosaceae. The record is from RefSeq and is a predicted model, not a curated record.
AGAGCCUUCCGAGUCGAAACUUUCUCUCUCUCUCGACACUCUCUUGACACGAAACGAAAUCUCAGUCCUCUCUCUCAAACCCUAAAUCUCAGUCCUCUCUCAGUUCUCUCUCAGUCCUCUCUCAUAAACCCUAAAGCGGCCAAUUUUGAUCUCUCUCACCGUCCUCUCUCUCUCUCCGCGAAACCCCUCUUUCUCGUGAAAGUUCUCUCAGUCUCUCAAUCUGAAACCAUGGCCUUCGUCAUUUCAGCCGUCAGGCAAAAAAUCCCUAAACUCGUCGAAACCGUCUCCAUGGCCAUCCUUCCUAAUUAUCCGAUUUGUUCUUCAUUGCUUUUCUUUUUGACUAUUUUGGUUUAGUUGGUGACUUGGGUUUUUGGGAAAUUACGGUAAUUGGUAUGAAUUGGGGUUUUGAGUUGGUUGUUUCUGAUUCUAGUUUGAAAUGCUGAUGAGAAAUUUGGGUUUGGGUUUCAUGAUUUUGAUGAAAUGAGUGCAAAGCAGCAGGCCUUCUUCUUCGACCAUGAAUUUGGUUCAGCGAAUAAUUACUAUUUGGAGAGGUUUUGGUUUUCGGUACAUUUGGGUCAAUUUUGCAUCUUUAGGUUGUUGGGUCCCUUGGAAUCUGUGCUUUCUGCUAUUGCCAAGAAGUGCAUCAGGUUCUCAGCCAAAGCCAGAGGUUGCUUGCGUUGAUUGGAAUUUUAACAGUUGGGGAGGUACGCUUUAUAGUUAUGCAAAGCUGAUGUCUUUAUUGAAGCUGUACAUUUUUCAAUAGAUCAACUAUAUACUCAAUCUUUCAAGCAACAGAACAGCAGAAUUUUUUAUGCUCUUUUGUACAAAGUACAAACCACAUACAACUCGAGCUAUAUCUGGAAAGUUUAAACCCCUAGCUACAGGAUGAUGCUAAACCGAGACUUGCAGGCACAAGACUUGCAGCCACUUAUGUGAUUGCCAAUGGAGCUUCAUUUUGGGUUCUAUUACAUUUUUUUGUUUCUUUGUCUAGAUCCAUGUUCAUGUUAUUAUAUUCUGACUAAUUUGUCCACAUGUGUAUCAGUUUUGAUGCAGUCAAUUCAUCAGGCUAUUGAAAAGGAACACCACUCAAUCCAGAAGAGUGAUGUCAUUAUCUUCUUUCAGGUUGCUCAGUUCGUUACUUCUUUCCAAUAUCACAGGCAUUCAAUUUCUAAGCCAAGCCUAAGAGCUGAAGCAGACACAAUUGAAGUUCCCACAGGUACAGAGGCUGAUAGAACAUUCUUUAGAGGUGAUAUAUGUGGACCAAUUGCAACCUCAAUGAAUGAGUCGAUGUUCCAACUAGUCAUUUCGAAGUGGCGUUAUGUAUUCGAUGGGUUGAAGGAAACACAUGAGUACAAGUUUCUGUCUGCAGCUAGUUCUCUGAUGAAAGAAAUGAUUUGCAUGCUAGAUUUGGUGCUCAAGUCAUUGCCAGAAGACUCCAAGGAGCCUCAAACGGCUCGCAUACUUCUGUACAAGUUAUUUUAUGAUCAGACCGAAGAGGGGAUGACCCAUUUUCUCUUAAAUUUGCUGAAAACGUUUGGCACUCACAAACAACCAAAAAGGUGAUUUUCUUUUCAUAUCAACUAAAACACUUUUUUUUUGCUUGGUUGUUGCUUGUUCGGCAUUAGUUUAGAAAUCCUAGUUUUAAAAAGGAAGAUAAUUCAGCUCUCUGUAGAGCAUCAUGUUGACUGAUCACUUGAUCAGUCUGAUCUGAUCAUCAAUAUCAAAGCAUUAUUCGCCUUUAACAUUAAUAUACUAACAUUAAAGUACAGUUUAGUAGAAAUUUAAGAUCCAUUUUGGUCUUGAUUGAGAAGUUCUUCUAAAACUAAUUUCAGUUUCUGACCUAAAUGUUUUAUGUGAUUGCCAACCGAGAGUUGGUACAGUCUAGUCUCACAGUGCUUCAUUUUUCCUAAAGGUUUUGGAUAUUCUAUUUCAUAUUUGAUCGAAGUUUCAUCAAAGUUUCUAUAUAGUCAUAAUUGCACUUACUGUUGAUUAGUAUAUAUUUGUUGGAUUUGAUCUGCUACAAGCUUGGCCAGAUAGUGAAGACUUGCUGUGAAUAUAUGGGGACAACAUCAUUGCUGGUAAUAAGGCGGAAGUCUGGGGCAUGAGUUCUUCUUGUUGUCGAGGACUAGUGAGCUCACUCUCUCUUUUGAAGGCGAGGUUUAUGUUUUUUUUGAUGUUACGCCCCAGAAUGUCACUCUCUAUUUCUUUGUUGCUUUGAGCUCUAUUUUUAUUUACUUUUCUUAUACAGUAAUGCUCACAGGUCUAAUGCUCAUCUUUUGCAUACUUUGUAGAAAGUAUUCCUUAAGACGAGAAGUGGAUUUGUUCGCAUAGCCAUGGAGAAUGGCUAUCCCCUGGUUUCAGUUUUCUGUUUUGGUCAGGUAUCACCUACUUAUUAUCUGGUUUUUAUGGUAUACCUAGAGAGUUAUUGGUUUCAAUUCUUGCUGCUGUUGUAUUAUAGCUGUUCGCAUAGCCAUGGAUCAUCUGCCAAAAGUUAGAAACUGGACCUAACUUUCUUUGUUUGUGUUUCUGCCAUGUUCUUUUUAUUUUUUAUUUUUUUUAUGCAAAAAUAUGAUGUUGACACAGUAGCAAAGGCAACUGUCCUUGGCAUCCAAGUUCGGUGUGGAUUCAGGCCUAAGAUUCCAUGUAGGAGAUGAAUCUAGAGCUAAUGCUGCACAAGAUAAUGAACUUUUCCAUCAGAAUCCUCAAGCAAAUGAUGCACAAGAUGGAAAUUGGAUUGCUCGUAUUGCAGCAUUGCUUGUGGGUGAGGAUCGAACACAAUCUUGUAUAGCUUAUGAAAUUGGAAGGCUUAGUUCAAUGAAAUGUUUAAAUGCUUAUAAAAUUGUAUAUAGUGAAUCGAUUGGAGUUUGUUUUGAUGUAUCAAAGUUACUUUUAGCAUUAAUAUAAAAUUAUUGUUCAUUGGUAAUAA